Non-coding RNA from Cyanistes caeruleus (blue tit), 773 nucleotides. The record is from RefSeq and is a predicted model, not a curated record. Lineage: Eukaryota; Metazoa; Chordata; Aves; Passeriformes; Paridae.
CAUGAGAAGUCAUCACUGAAAGAGGAGCCUUCCAUCUUUUUCUGCCUGCAGGAAGACAAACCUUUAUAUUGAAAUCAGGGGUGGGAAGGAACCUGAGAGCUCCACUCCGCAGGCUACCAUGCCCUGAGUUUUUUCAGCUGUUAUUUUCUGAGGAACACUGAGCCAGCCCAGUGAGAGGCGGGUGACAAGGCUCCACGUGCACCCAGUCCAACAGUGCAAAUACAAGGGCUGGAAGGAGGCUCAAGACUGGAUGCUUCCCAGUUAACCCACAGGCAAGGCUGAGGAGACUGUGUCUUGCUAUCCCCAGGAGGAAGUAGGGGAACCAGGCACACAAGGAGACUGAAGAGAUCCCAAUGAAUCUCCGAGUGGUGAUUAGUGGAUUACGUGCAUCCCAGGGCCUGCCUCCAAUCACUUUCCCCUGCAAAUUGCUCAGCCCCGAUGCAGCAGCACAGAGCAAAGUGGGCUCUGUCGCCAGGGCCUGGUCCUCAUUAUGGCCAGGAGACGGCAGGAGUUUGUUUACACGGCUGGAACAUCAUCCUCCCGGGCAGCUCAUCAGCCUUUCCCCAGGGUUUCUGCUCACUGAAUGCUUCGAAGUAAUCACCACCAGCUACCUACACCCCGAGCAGCAUCUCAGCAAUUCACCAAGUCAACUGACAACAGCUUGAGGUAAUAUUAGCCCCCUUACAGGAAGGCAAGUGCUCUCCACACAAGGAUGCUGGAGCUUAGCACCACUCAAUAAAUCAGAGCAGCAUCCUGGAAAGCCUGCCAUUAGU